AAAAAGAAGAGAAGAGAAGAGAAACUUAGGCUAGAAACAAGGAAAGAGCUACGAUUUUGGGAGGAGAAAAAGGCAGCCCAAAACGUUACCAAACAGUCCCUAAGUUUCAGCUGCGCUAAAGGAAAUUCUGAGGCAAGUUUUGGCGAGUUUUGGUGAAUUUCGGGAAAGGUUCAAGAGACGACGAGGCGAGCAUAGUUAAGAGUAAUCCGUAAGAGGUACAGAUGAUUGGUUUGCUGAUCCGCUCGCUUAGGACAUCCACCAUGUUGGUCGACAGUGCUCCUUUGUUCGGAGUUCUAUUUUGGU
Solanum dulcamara is the source of this 303-nucleotide long non-coding RNA. RefSeq lists it as uncharacterized. NCBI's taxonomy places the organism in Eukaryota, Viridiplantae, Streptophyta, Magnoliopsida, Solanales, Solanaceae. The record is from RefSeq and is a predicted model, not a curated record. The transcript has 4 exons.